RNAcentral lists this ribosomal RNA (253 nucleotides) under uncultured bacterium. RNAcentral's name for it is "partial 16S ribosomal RNA". It matches the Rfam family "Bacterial small subunit ribosomal RNA", at positions 524 to 776 of the family's 1533-position model. The record is from RNAcentral.
GACGAACCGAGCGAACGUUGUUCGGAAUCACUGGGCUUAAAGGGCGCGUAGGCGGGUGCUCAAGUCCGGGGUGAAAUCCUCCAGCUCAACUGGAGAACUGCCUCGGAUACUGGGUGCCUCGAGGGUGGUAGGGGUAUGCGGAACUAUCGGUGGAGCGGUGAAAUGCGUAGAUAUCAGGAGGAACACCGGUGGCGAAGGCGCACAUCUGGCCCGAUACUGACGCUGAGGCGCGAAAGCUAGGGGAGCAAACGGG